UCUUGUCAACAAAGACAAGCUUUACAUGACGGAUGACAGUGACAUUCUAAUGAUAAUAAAAACAAAAAGUAUUUGCCUGUUAUUGUGAAUUAUUUAGAUUUUUGUAAUAUGAUCAGAAAAACUGUGAUAGUCGUAAUACUGAAUAUAAUCUUACAGGUCUCAGGAGAUUAUGACAUUAUGCUGACACAUGAUGGUCCAAUUAUAAAAGGUGGCACUAUACAUUUUACAGCAGUUGUAACUUCUAAUGACCAACCUGUACUAGAAACCUUAAAAUUUGUAUGGAUGGAUAAUGGAAUACCACAGCACACUAGAGAGAAUGAUGAAGUUAACAAUUCUACAGAUACUUGGACUAUAACAUACACUGCAGGCGUCUAUCCAGCUGGAAUUUAUACAGCUCAAGUAGUUAUAUAUAAGUGCAGUUUUGUCGUCUACUGCCCUGAAAAAGGCUCAGCAAGGAUUAACUUUGUUAUAACAGAAAAUCUUAAUGGAGACUUCCUGUUACUGCAAGGAAAUCAAUCAUUAACGAAUAAUUUCGUAUCGACUAAAAAGGAAGUGAUACACGCAGUAAAAUUAAAGCAAUCAGAUGCAGACUUUAUCAAAACAGCUCCUACAAUUAGAACUUAUUGGUUUGUAGACUGUGUAUAUUAUGGAAUUACCAAUGAGUUCAAAUUUGCUCAUACUUACCCGGAUCCAUAUCAGAACCACACUGUUGAAGCCUUGGUAGAGGCUGAUUGCACUCCAUUGCCAACCACAACAGCAGCACCUACUACUACAACAACCAAAGUUACAACUACUACACCAAAGCCAAGUACAACAGCAAGCACCACUACUAAGCCAACUACAAAAACUACUACAGUUAAACCAAAUGCAAUAACAAUAACUUCAAAUAAGCCAAAAGUCAGAAGACAUAUAACUAAUCCUACUGUGAAACCACAAUCAAACAUUAAAGUUUGGGUCAAUAAUACAUUAGUUCCUUAUAAUGUAUCUUUUCCGUAUGUUUGUAAUAGCUCUUACCUGGCGACUGAUCCUAAGAAAUUUUAUGGAUAUUUUUAUAAAAAAUUUCAAGCUAAAGAUCCUUUGUCGAACAUAACCGUCACUGGUAAUAAUUGGCUGCAAACAGGUGACAUGCUGUCUCUAAAAGUACAAUGCUAUGGUUCCCAAAAUUUCGAGUAUUGUGUUAAAUAUGUAAAAGGAGAAUAUAAUGUGACAGGCAACGAAACUUGUAAAUAUUAUGACACAUUAGAAACCUGCGCGUUUUCUGUUAUGAGGUAUCUAAAUGUUCCUAAGACGACUAUAUUAAUUAUCGUGAAAAAUGACCUCAAUAAGAUAGUUCAACCAGUAACUAUCAACAUCUAUAGUGUGAAGAAACAGGGUCAGUUAUCAGUUAUUGUUGUCCCUGUCGCCUUUAGUUUAGCAGCAGUUGUAUUAAUUGUAUUUGGCGUUGCCUACUAUUUCCAAAAUAGAAGCAGGUUUAUAAUUGAAGUUGCUGAUUUCAACUUCGGCAGACAGUAUAGUGAUAUGGAGUAUAAAACUUUCAGAGAGAGACUAAGAGAUUCAAUCGCCAACGCCUUUACUCGAACACCUACACCUAGCUCGUCAGAAGUACCAGUUUGGCCUCCUGGUAGAAAAUACGGUAGCAUGACAUGAUAUUGGAAUGGAACCCAACUUGUCAUCAGGGAUCCCCCCAUGGAUGAUAAUGAUAAACUGCAACAAUAUUUUUAAUCUUAUAUUUUAUUUGACUUCACUUAUUUAAAUAUGAUUAUUUUUGUUUUUCUAAUAUAUUUAGAUUUUUAAUGCCUUACUUUUAUGUAUCAUUUUAUUAGGCUUUUAUUUUGUCUUCGUUUUGUUCUCUUUGCUAUAGCCCGUUGUAAAUUUAUGAGAUGGCGAACAAUUUUCUUGAAAUUAUUUAUUUAUUUUUAGUUUGAAUUCUGAUUUCUCGAAUAUAAAAAUGUAUGAAAUUUUUAAUUUUUAAUAUUAUGUUCUUGGUAAUCACAUUUUUUGAUUUAAACAUGGUUAUAGUAUGCGUAAAAUUGCAAUGAGCUAUAGCAAUAUUCACGAAGUGAAUAUUAUUUCUUAUCUGUUGUGGGGCUUUAGAGACUUUGUAAAAUAGUAAACAUAAUCAAAUUUUAUUCUGAGAAUAGAAAUAACGAUUAAAUUAUAGUCGAUAAAUUGUAGCCGCUGCUUUUAUUAAAUUUCUUAAUAAAAUUUCCAUUCCAAGCCUAAAAACACGAAUUUUUUAAAACGAAAUAAAAUUUGAAAGACAAUUUUAAUUGCAGCUAAAUUUGAGUUUUUCUAUUGAAAAAGGUAAUUAACUUAAUGUGAUCAAUAUUUUAAUUUCUUCAACAGGUUUUAGAUUUCUAAUAUUAAAAAAAUCAUUAGACAUCCUACAAAAUAGUACAACGUGAACAUAGCCUCGAAUGAACCACCACGGAACAAAUAUUGGUGUUUGGCAGUGUUGCCAUGUCCUUAUAAUACCCAACCUAUACAUUAUAAGAGUAUUACAACACUGUCAAACUCCAAUAUUUUGUUCCGUGGAGGUUCAUUCAAGGAUAUACAGGGUGUCUGCGUAACUUGGAACCAUAUGAGAAACUUUUUUAAUAUCAAUUUUACGAAAAAAAGUCAUUCUUUAUAAAGUGCUCUGCAUAGUCUAAAAUCUAAGAUGCAAUCAUCAGAUAUCAAAUUUUGUCAACAGUAUACGAGGUAUGUCAAAAAAUAUUAAUUUCGCUCAAGAGCAAACUACCUUUAUAUUUCAAAAUAUCAAAAAAUUUUAUUAUGAAAAGUUAUUUGUAAUUAAAAACCAUAUUCAAAUAUGAAAUAACAGCCUUCUACUUGAAAAAAAAUUUCUGAAAUUUUCCUAAAUUACCGACUCCGAACAUUAUUUUUAUUUAUUAGACAUGUAAUAACUCUUUUAUUAAUAAUUUUAGGAAAAAAAGUUAUUUUUCAUAAAAAUCUGUGCAUGGUCUAAACCUCAAGAUGCAACCAACAGUUAUCCAAGUUUGUUAAUUUUAUACGAGGUGUGUCAAAUAAUAUGAAUUUAGAAAGAAUUUUUUCUAAAUUCUUUCUAAAUUCAUAUUAUUUGACACACCUCGUAUAAAAUUAACACACUUGGAUAACUGUUGGUUGCAUCUUGAGGUUUAGACCAUGCACAGAUUUUUAUGAAAAAUAACUUUUUUCCUAAAAUUAUUAAUAAAAGAGUUAUUACAUGUCUAAUAAAUAAAAAUGAUGUUCGGAAUCGGUAAUUUAGGAAAAUUCCAGAAAUUUUUUUUUCAAGUAGAAGGCUGUUAUUGCAUAUUUGAAUAUGGUUUUUAAUUACAAAUAACUUUUCAUAAUAAAAUUUUUUGAUAUUUUGAAAUAUAAAGGUAGUUUGCUCUUGAGCGAAAUUAAUAUUUUUUGACAUACCUCGUAUACUGUUGACAAAAUUUGAUAUCUGAUGAUUGCAUCUUAGGUUUUAGACUAUGCAGAGUACUUUAUAAAGAAUGACUUUUUUUUUCGUAAAAUUGAUAUUAAAAAAGUUUUCCAUAUGGUUCCAAGUUACGCAGACACCCUGUAUAACGUUACACUAUUUUUUAAGAUGUCCAAAUCAUUGUGUAUAAGAGACAAUGGUAAAGUGUCAUAAGCAGUAAUUGGGAACUAUUAAAAAUAAUACUGUACGGGUAUCUCUGUCUGCACAAUCUCUAAUUUACAUUUAUUCAAAAUUUAUAUGUCUUUCCAGUAAUUUUUAAUAAAUUUAACAGUUUUUCUUUCUUUCAUUGCAAGUUAUAUUUACAUAGAUCUUUUUUUAAUUCAUUAGCUAAUCUCCAUUGUGCCACUAGUAUGGAUAUUUCUAACCAGACUUCUUAAAGUUUGUUAUUAUGAUUUGAAACAAAAGAAGGUCAUGAAUAUUACAAAAAGACCUACUCUCAUACCUCAUUUUAUGAUGAUUAAUUUUUCUUAUCAAUGGAUAAUGAACAUAUAAAGCACAUAGUGUUUGCUCCCCCCUUGUCUGGCUUUAAAAUUUACAUAAUAUUUACCUUUUGCUUUUAAUGUCUUUUCUGUUUUGCUGAUUUGUUUUGCUCUUUUUAUCCUAAUUCUCUGUUUAUAAAGUUUUCUUCUAUAGUUAUUUCUACUUUCUCCAUUUUUUUCAAAUAUACAUUUUCUUGUAUUAACUCAUUCCUUUAUAAGAUAAAGUUUUCAAUCCUAAUAGCAUUAUUAAUAAUAUUUAAAAAUAUUAAAAAUAUUACCUACUAAAAGAUUUUUAAAUUGAAAACUUAUUGGUCCAUUUUCUUGGUAACACCUCCAAGGCUUCUAAAAUUUACAAGCCAUAUGGAUGCUGAAGCGAAGAAGACAAGAGGGAAUUCAAAAACUUACAAUUCACGACCCCGUCUGUUCAGCUGGUAAAUUCAAACAGAAAAUGGACCUAGUUACUCAAAGGAGUAAAGACUAAUAUAAAAAUAAAAUAAAAUUUCAUUUUUAAUUCAAUUGUUUUGCCUUAAGAUUAUUUAAUAUUUUAAGAUUAUUUAAUAAGAUUUAUUUUAUUUUCAUUCCUUUAUAGUUUAUUUUCUCUUUCAUGACCUGUAUCAUUUGCUCUACUAUAUUUCUCAGAAUUUUUUAAAUAUCCCAAAGCCCCUUAUUUUUCCUUUUGUUGGCAUCUACUAGUUGCCUUGUUAAUUCGUUUAUUUCAUUGUUGUUAUUUAUUUCAUUUAUUUUUGUUUUUGUCGUAUCUGGUGUGCACUGUAUUUUUUACUUCUGGCAAAUAUAUCUUCUGGUUCAUCUUCUUCUUCGUUUUAUCAUCAUCUGAUAUAUUAUGGUCAUAAGAGCAAUAAAUCUUCUGUAUGUAUUACCUUUUUAGUCUCAAUUUCACUGACGCAUUUAAACUUUUUUGGAAUUUGAACUUUUAAACUUUGGAUUCAUCAUGAUCGGUAACGUUUUCUUAUUAUUUAACUAACGCGAUUAUGGUUUUUAUUGCGGAAAAAUAAUAUGGUGGCCUCCCCUUACAUUCGCUUUGCAAAUAUAAUUUUUUGUGUAUCCCACUAUGCUGUGGUAGUAAGUUUUAAUACAGCCUUCUAGGAAGACACCAAUGGAUGACUAUAACCCCCACAUGAAAUUGCUAGUUCUCCUUUUGUUGCUAUUUUUAAGAGCACACAGUAGCGAUCAACAGGUAGCAACAAACGCGGUCCAAGAUUGCGAAAGUUCUGCGAACUUUCAAAAGUGAGGCAACAGUGCGUCGGUAACUCGACACUGACAGUGACGUUUAUACUAUCAAAAACAAUAAUUAGUUUUUAUACACAUAGGCGCGAAUUGUUGCCAAGUCAGUGACGUUCGAUUUCUUGUUAUAAAAAAAUCGAUUUUUAGUAGUUCCAAUGUGACACAAAAUCUAGGGACGGGAUAAAAAAGUUUAUUUGAAGAAAGUGUAUUUUUGCCUUUCUUAAUGGCGGUACAGGCUCCUUUUUUCAAUAUUUUAUUUAGUUAUAGAGUGAUUUCCACAUGCUAACAUAUUUCUGAAAUUGGGCUCUGUACCGCCAUUCUUUAUUAUAUUACGAAUAUGUGUGCCAAAUAUCUCGACAAAAUAUUCAAAAUUAGAGCCGCAAUCUUGGAACGCGUUUGUUGCUACCUGUUGAUCACUACUGUUUGCUCUUAAAUAUACUAUUUAAUAAACAAGUUUGAAUCAUUUUUUUCAGAAUACCAGUACAAUAAUAGAUAUUUAUAAAAAAUACGUUCAAAAUUUAUACGACAGCAGAGUUAUCCGUAGUAUUGAAACGAAUAAAAUGUUCGUUAUAUUCCAACAUUUUUAGUAAUGUCAAUUAAGAUUUUAUUUUUUAUUAAGAAAUAAAAAUUACAACUGUUAUUAAACACUAAUCAGUUAUGAGAGAGAUAAAAUAUUAAACAAAUACUUAUAUGAGAGUGUGAUGAUAUGUCUGGUCUUAGCUUGUAAUGUACUCAAAUAGUCUUAUGAUAAUUACUCUGUAUUAGUUAUUAAUACCCCUUAUUUGUUAAAGUGGUCCUCUCGUUUAAAAAAUAAUUACGAAUAUAACAAGUGGUCAUGUUUGCUGUAUCGUUGGGAAUCACGAGUUAAGUUUCUUGUUUUAUUUCACAAUCAAUAUAAUUUUCUAACAACUAAUAUUGUGAUUCAGAAACAUUUUUUUAUAAAUCGCCUUCAAGUUGGUUUUGCUUUUGUAUCAACCGUAAUAGAUAGGGUGAUUCAUUAAGAAUGUCCAGUCUCUGGGUUGUAGAUUCUAGACCUCAAAAUAUUACGAUUCUGCCCAAUAUGCCUUAUUUUAAUAUUCAAGCUAUUGCCAAUGUUCUAGCAAUAUCUACCUGUUUUAUGAAUGAUCCCUUGUUGAUGUCCUUUCACACCUCCAACAGUAGCACACUGCUGAGCUGAAUAAUAAUGAGUCUUAUAGAUAGCUGGUACAGGUUUACCUUCAGUUUCCGAAGAGGACCACAUUUUUUGAGAGAUGUUUUCGAAAAUGCAACUUUUUAUAUAUAAACAUGAGAACAUGUUAAUCAUUUAUAUGAAGAAGAGCCAAUCAUUUUAUAUAUAAAAUGUUUAUCGACUGUUGAAUAGUAUUCGACAGUGUUUUUUAACAUGCAGUCAUUUACACAAUUAUUUAUCAUUAAAUAACGAGGCCUACAUCUCAUAUGAUUAUCUUAGCUGGUAAUAAAUUGAUUAUUAGAUAAUAAGAAUUUUGUCCACAAACAGGAAAAAAUUAAAACCAGUUUCAAAAUUCACGAAGACUGUACCAGUGUUAAUUAUUUGUUAAAUAUGACUGUAUUUUAAACAAUAUUGUCAAAUAGAGAUGUAUUUGUAUAUAUAGGUUCAAAUGUUUAUUUUUUGUAUGUAAAAACUGCGUAGAAAUAUAUAAUAAAUAUAACAAGAUUGUA
Molecule: unclassified non-coding RNA, 6861 nt
Filed under: Diabrotica virgifera virgifera (western corn rootworm)
Lineage: Eukaryota; Metazoa; Arthropoda; Insecta; Coleoptera; Chrysomelidae
Description: uncharacterized LOC114327269
Source: RNAcentral